GGGUUGUGAGGUUAAGCGACUAAGCGUACACGGUGGAUGCCCUGGCAGUCAGAGGCGAUGAAGGACGUGCUAAUCUGCGAUAAGCGUCGGUAAGGUGAUAUGAACCGUUAUAACCGGCGAUUUCCGAAUGGGGAAACCCAGUGUGAUUCGUCACACUAUCAUUAACUGAAUCCAUAGGUUAAUGAGGCGAACCGGGGGAACUGAAACAUCUAAGUACCCCGAGGAAAAGAAAUCAACCGAGAUUCCCCCAGUAGCGGCGAGCGAACGGGGAGCAGCCCAGAGCCUGAAUCAGUGUGUGUGUUAGUGGAAGCGUCUGGAAAGGCGUGCGAUACAGGGUGACAGCCCCGUACACAAAAAUGCACAUGCUGUGAGCUCGAUGAGUAGGGCGGGACACGUGGUAUCCUGUCUGAAUAUGGGGGGACCAUCCUCCAAGGCUAAAUACUCCUGACUGACCGAUAGUGAACCAGUACCGUGAGGGAAAGGCGAAAAGAACCCCGGCGAGGGGAGUGAAAAAGAACCUGAAACCGUGUACGUACAAGCAGUGGGAGCACGCUUAGGCGUGUGACUGCGUACCUUUUGUAUAAUGGGUCAGCGACUUAUAUUCUGUAGCAAGGUUAACCGAAUAGGGGAGCCGAAGGGAAACCGAGUCUUAACUGGGCGUUAAGUUGCAGGGUAUAGACCCGAAACCCGGUGAUCUAGCCAUGGGCAGGUUGAAGGUUGGGUAACACUAACUGGAGGACCGAACCGACUAAUGUUGAAAAAUUAGCGGAUGACUUGUGGCUGGGGGUGAAAGGCCAAUCAAACCGGGAGAUAGCUGGUUCUCCCCGAAAGCUAUUUAGGUAGCGCCUCGUGAAUUCAUCUCCGGGGGUAGAGCACUGUUUCGGCAAGGGGGUCAUCCCGACUUACCAACCCGAUGCAAACUGCGAAUACCGGAGAAUGUUAUCACGGGAGACACACGGCGGGUGCUAACGUCCGUCGUGAAGAGGGAAACAACCCAGACCGCCAGCUAAGGUCCCAAAGUCAUGGUUAAGUGGGAAACGAUGUGGGAAGGCCCAGACAGCCAGGAUGUUGGCUUAGAAGCAGCCAUCAUUUAAAGAAAGCGUAAUAGCUCACUGGUCGAGUCGGCCUGCGCGGAAGAUGUAACGGGGCUAAACCAUGCACCGAAGCUGCGGCAGCGACACUAUGUGUUGUUGGGUAGGGGAGCGUUCUGUAAGCCUGCGAAGGUGUGCUGUGAGGCAUGCUGGAGGUAUCAGAAGUGCGAAUGCUGACAUAAGUAACGAUAAAGCGGGUGAAAAGCCCGCUCGCCGGAAGACCAAGGGUUCCUGUCCAACGUUAAUCGGGGCAGGGUGAGUCGACCCCUAAGGCGAGGCCGAAAGGCGUAGUCGAUGGGAAACAGGUUAAUAUUCCUGUACUUGGUGUUACUGCGAAGGGGGGACGGAGAAGGCUAUGUUGGCCGGGCGACGGUUGUCCCGGUUUAAGCGUGUAGGCUGGUUUUCCAGGCAAAUCCGGAAAACUAAGGCUGAGGCGUGAUGACGAGGCACUACGGUGCUGAAGCAACAAAUGCCCUGCUUCCAGGAAAAGCCUCUAAGCAUCAGGUAACAUCAAAUCGUACCCCAAACCGACACAGGUGGUCAGGUAGAGAAUACCAAGGCGCUUGAGAGAACUCGGGUGAAGGAACUAGGCAAAAUGGUGCCGUAACUUCGGGAGAAGGCACGCUGAUAUGUAGGUGAAGUCCCUCGCGGAUGGAGCUGAAAUCAGUCGAAGAUACCAGCUGGCUGCAACUGUUUAUUAAAAACACAGCACUGUGCAAACACGAAAGUGGACGUAUACGGUGUGACGCCUGCCCGGUGCCGGAAGGUUAAUUGAUGGGGUCAGCGCAAGCGAAGCUCUUGAUCGAAGCCCCGGUAAACGGCGGCCGUAACUAUAACGGUCCUAAGGUAGCGAAAUUCCUUGUCGGGUAAGUUCCGACCUGCACGAAUGGCGUAAUGAUGGCCAGGCUGUCUCCACCCGAGACUCAGUGAAAUUGAACUCGCUGUGAAGAUGCAGUGUACCCGCGGCAAGACGGAAAGACCCCGUGAACCUUUACUAUAGCUUGACACUGAACAUUGAGCCUUGAUGUGUAGGAUAGGUGGGAGGCUUUGAAGUGUGGACGCCAGUCUGCAUGGAGCCGACCUUGAAAUACCACCCUUUAAUGUUUGAUGUUCUAACGUUGACCCGUAAUCCGGGUUGCGGACAGUGUCUGGUGGGUAGUUUGACUGGGGCGGUCUCCUCCUAAAGAGUAACGGAGGAGCACGAAGGUUGGCUAAUCCUGGUCGGACAUCAGGAGGUUAGUGCAAUGGCAUAAGCCAGCUUGACUGCGAGCGUGACGGCGCGAGCAGGUGCGAAAGCAGGUCAUAGUGAUCCGGUGGUUCUGAAUGGAAGGGCCAUCGCUCAACGGAUAAAAGGUACUCCGGGGAUAACAGGCUGAUACCGCCCAAGAGUUCAUAUCGACGGCGGUGUUUGGCACCUCGAUGUCGGCUCAUCACAUCCUGGGGCUGAAGUAGGUCCCAAGGGUAUGGCUGUUCGCCAUUUAAAGUGGUACGCGAGCUGGGUUUAGAACGUCGUGAGACAGUUCGGUCCCUAUCUGCCGUGGGCGCUGGAGAACUGAGGGGGGCUGCUCCUAGUACGAGAGGACCGGAGUGGACGCAUCACUGGUGUUCGGGUUGUCAUGCCAAUGGCACUGCCCGGUAGCUAAAUGCGGAAGAGAUAAGUGCUGAAAGCAUCUAAGCACGAAACUUGCCCCGAGAUGAGUUCUCCCUGACUCCUUGAGAGUCCUGAAGGAACGUUGAAGACGACGACGUUGAUAGGCCGGGUGUGUAAGCGCAGCGAUGCGUUGAGCUAACCGGUACUAAUGAACCGUGAGGCUUAACCUUACAACGCCGAAGGUGUUU
Molecule: ribosomal RNA, 2930 nt
Filed under: Escherichia coli
Lineage: Bacteria; Pseudomonadati; Pseudomonadota; Gammaproteobacteria; Enterobacterales; Enterobacteriaceae
Description: 23S ribosomal RNA
Rfam family: Bacterial large subunit ribosomal RNA
Source: RNAcentral